Molecule: long non-coding RNA, 860 nt
Filed under: Homo sapiens (human)
Lineage: Eukaryota; Metazoa; Chordata; Mammalia; Primates; Hominidae
Description: non-protein coding lnc-PLAC8L1-1:1
Source: RNAcentral
CAGCUGUUCACUUCUCAGGAAGGGAGUCCAGAAGCUAUGUGGCUGCCUGUGUGGUCAGACGUGGGUGAGAAGAUGAGGAUGGAUGCUUGCUCCUCUCAUGGAAACAGAUAACUUCCGUACCUGCCAAACCAAUGGCAGAGGAGCUGGGAAGCUCACAGGCAUUGCUGAGGCCUUUGAAGAUGUUAGCUGAGAAAGGCAGACCAGCCAGCAUGGAGCUGCCCUCCCUCCCACUCAGCGCCUUUCCUAGGCCAAGGACCAGGUGAAGCCGCCUUGACCCUGAUCCAGCCGCCUGGGUUGCUGCUGCCGGGGAAGGCAGGCCUGGUGUGGACGGACCCCCUGACUUUUCAAGACACACUGGAGGUCACUGAGCCAUGUUUUGAGUCAGUUCUGCAUCUCAUCAAGACACAGGUAGGGGCGCUGCUUUAAACUCUUCCUGCUCUGAAAGCCCUGUCUGUGGGAUGGGUGAAGGGUGGAGGAGGUGAGGCGGGUUCCACACACACAGGGAAGGAGACAAGUCCUAAGUAAGGAUCUUGAUGCUGCUCAAUGGGACCAUUUCCUCAGGUAUGGUCCUCAGAGUAUGUCCCCAGCUGGGCAUGACCCGCCUUCCCCACUCAGAUGUCUCCCAUUUUCCCCCAAUCAAAUCCUACUCUUAGCACUUUUCAUAGCACCAAGAUGCCAGAGUCUGACCACGGGGCAAAGGGGCACUCUUCCUAGGUACUGUCUGAACCUUAGUUGAGGGGUGAUGCUCUCACAGGAUGGAAUUUUCACCUUCAGACUUGAGGGGCUGGGGUUCUACCUGGGAUCUCUGGAAUGUUCCACAAAGGAAUAAAUUCCUCUAAGUAUUAAGUGAAUUUGGGUCC